UAAGGAAUAUUGGUCAAUGGACGCAAGUCUGAACCAGCCAUGCCGCGUGCAGGAUGACGGCCCUACGGGUUGUAAAGCUCUGUCUUCAGGGACGAUAAUGACGGUACCUGAGGAGGAAGCCACGGCUAACUACGUGCCAGCAGCCGCGGUAAUACGUAGGGGGCGAGCGUUGUUCGGAAUUACUGGGCGUAAAGGGCAUGUAGGCGGUCUGGUAAGCCUGGCGUGAAAGUCUGCAGCUUAACUGCAGGGGUGCGCUGGGAACUGUCAUAGAAACUGCAAGCCUAGAGUACGGAAGAGGUUGAUGGAAUAUCUGGUGUAGCAGUGAAAUGCGUAGAUAUCAGAUAGAACACCAAUGGCGAAGGCAGUCAACUGGUCCGUUACUGACGCUAAAGCACGAAAGUGUGGGGAGCGAACA
Molecule: ribosomal RNA, 415 nt
Filed under: uncultured prokaryote
Description: bacterial SSU rRNA
Rfam family: Bacterial small subunit ribosomal RNA
Source: RNAcentral